CUUUAAAAGGAGAGGUGGAAGAAGUAGACCAUAACUCACAGACAACAGAGAGACAACCAGUGAAUCCUGUGGAAGAGUGCAGAAGGAGACUAUCACAAUGGCGAUAUUGACCAUCAUUCUGCUUGUCAGCACAGCUUUUGCUCUGGGAGAUGCUACGAUACGACCCAAGACCCCAUGUGAGCGUGCUAGAGAUGCCGCGACACAUGGCCCAAUUGGAGCCUACAUCCCAACGUGUGACACCGCAGGACAAUACACCCCUAAGCAAUGUUGGGC
Long non-coding RNA from Salvelinus fontinalis (brook trout), 273 nucleotides. RefSeq lists it as uncharacterized. Lineage: Eukaryota; Metazoa; Chordata; Actinopteri; Salmoniformes; Salmonidae. The transcript has 3 exons. The record is from RefSeq and is a predicted model, not a curated record.